CCUACGGGAGGCAGCAGUAGGGAAUAUUGCUCAAUGGGGGAAACCCUGAAGCAGCAACGCCGCGUGGAGGAUGAAGGUUUUCGGAUUGUAAACUCCUUUUGUUAGAGAAGAUAAUGACGGUAUCUAACGAAUAAGCACCGGCUAACUCCGUGCCAGCAGCCGCGGUAAUACGGAGGGUGCAAGCGUUACUCGGAAUCACUGGGCGGAAAGGGCGCGUAGGCGGGAUAGCAAGUCAGAUGUGAAAUCCUAUGGCCUAACCAUAGAAAUGCAUUUUAAACUGUUAUUCUAGAGUAUGGGAGAGGGUGGUUGAAAUCUUGGUUGUGGGGUAAAAUUCCUAG
Molecule: ribosomal RNA, 338 nt
Filed under: uncultured bacterium
Lineage: Bacteria
Description: partial 16S ribosomal RNA
Rfam family: Bacterial small subunit ribosomal RNA
Source: RNAcentral